AGCGAACGCUGGCGGCAGGCCUAACACAUGCAAGUCGAACGAAGUCUUCGGACUUAGAGGCGGACGGGUGAGUAACACGUGGGAACGUGCCUUUAGGUUCGGAAUAACUCAGGGAAACUUGUGCUAAUACCGAAUGUGCCCUUCGGGGGAAAGAUCUAUCGCCUUUAGAGCGGCCCGCGUCUGAUUAGCUAGUUGGUGAGGUAAAGGCUCACCAAGGCGACGAUCAGUAGCUGGUCUGAGAGGAUGAUCAGCCACAUUGGGACUGAGACACGGCCCAAACUCCUACGGGAGGCAGCAGUGGGGAAUCUUGCGCAAUGGGCGAAAGCCUGACGCAGCCAUGCCGCGUGAAUGAUGAAGGUCUUAGGAUUGUAAAAUUCUUUCACCGGGGACGAUAAUGACGGUACCCGGAGAAGAAGCCCCGGCUAACUUCGUGCCAGCAGCCGCCGUAA
Molecule: ribosomal RNA, 449 nt
Filed under: uncultured bacterium
Lineage: Bacteria
Description: partial 16S ribosomal RNA
Rfam family: Bacterial small subunit ribosomal RNA
Source: RNAcentral